Molecule: ribosomal RNA, 549 nt
Filed under: Hyphoderma sordidum
Lineage: Eukaryota; Fungi; Basidiomycota; Agaricomycetes; Polyporales; Hyphodermataceae
Description: Hyphoderma sp. YY-2023c partial small subunit ribosomal RNA
Rfam family: Bacterial small subunit ribosomal RNA
Source: RNAcentral
GCCCCGUCCCAAAUAUAGUCAAUGCUCGCAAGAGUGAACUAGCUAACUGAAAUCAUAAAUGUGUCAUUUGUGAUGUCGUAAGGGAAAAUAAUGAUACUACCUUACUAAUAGUGUCGUCUAAAACUGGUGCCAGAAGACUCGGUAAGGCCAGAGACACAAACGUUAAUCAUAUUAAACAGGCGUAAAGGGUUUGUAGGCUGCUUUAAAUAAAAUUAAAGCUAGAAUCUAAUAGAGGUUAAUACAAAUCAUACAAAGAGGAGGGCUUAUAUCCGUAGAUCCUAAGUGGAGAUACUCAUGGCGUAGGCUUUUUAACCAUUAAAGAUUGACGCUGAGAAACGAAGGGGAGGACAGGAAAUAGGAUUAGAUACCCCGGUACCCCUCUCUGUCAACGAUGAAUGGUAACCAUUUGUUUUAAAAUAAGUGGUGAUGUUAACACGUUAACCAUUCCGCCUUGUGAGUACGACUGCAAAGUUAAAAACAAAAAAAUUAGUCGGUCUUGAAGCAAACGAAGUGGAGCAUGUUAUUUAUCAAAAAAACCCCCAAAAUAAA